UUAGGAAUUUUGCGCAAUGGACGAAAGUCUGACGCAGCAACUCCGCGUGAGUGAUGAAGGCCUUCGGGUUGUAAAGCUCUUUUAGUCGGGACGAAGAAAAUGACGGUACCGACAGAAACAGCACCGGCUAACCCUGUGCCAGCAGCCGCGGUAAUACAGGGGGUGCAAGCGUUAUUCGGAAUUAUUGGGCGUAAAGAGCGUGUAGGCGGCCAAGCAAGUUUGGUGUGAAAGCCCCGGGCUUAAUCCGGGAAGUGCAUUGAAUACUGCUAGGCUAGAGUAUAGGAGAGGAUGGCGGAAUUCCUGGUGUAGAGGUGAAAUUCGUAGAUAUCAGGAGGAACAACAGAGGCGAAGGCGGCCAUCUGGACUAUUACUGACGCUAAGGCGCGAAAGUGUGGGGAGCAAACAGG
Molecule: ribosomal RNA, 407 nt
Filed under: uncultured bacterium
Lineage: Bacteria
Description: bacterial SSU rRNA
Rfam family: Bacterial small subunit ribosomal RNA
Source: RNAcentral